GGUCAAGUUAUUAAGGGUGCAGGGCGGAUGCCUUGGCACUAGGAGCCGAUGAAGGACGUGAUAAGCUGCGAUAAGCUUCGGGGAGUUGCACGUAAACUUUGAUCCGAAGAUUUCCGAAUGAGGAAACUCACUUAGAGUAAUGUCUAAGUAUCAUUAAGUGAAUACAUAGCUUAAUGAGGGGAACUCAGGGAACUGAAACAUCUAAGUACCUGAAGGAAGAGAAAGAAAUUCGAUUCCGUAAGUAGCGGCGAGCGAACGCGGAUUAGCCCAAACCAAUAAAGUUUUCUUUACUGGGGUUGCGGACAUAUCAUAACGAAGAGGUAUCGUAAUUGAAGAGGUUUGGAAAGACCCACCACAGAAGGUAAUAG
This 368-nucleotide ribosomal RNA is filed under the name Clostridioides difficile. RNAcentral describes it as "partial 23S ribosomal RNA". It matches the Rfam family "Bacterial large subunit ribosomal RNA", at positions 1 to 370 of the family's 2925-position model. Lineage: Bacteria; Bacillati; Bacillota; Clostridia; Peptostreptococcales; Peptostreptococcaceae. The record is from RNAcentral.